UAAGUCCUGUCACUUAUCAAAAGAAGUACGUCAUUACUGCUGGCAUGUAACAUGUCAGCAUCGAUGUGCCUAUUUAGAGAAAGGAAUACGCACAAUCUGAACUGCCUUGUCAGCAAGACUGGGUUUCUGAAUGGGCGCAAAUAGUGAUUCAAUUUCCUUACGCGAAACACUUGUUGACAUCACGCGAUACUUUGACGCUCUCGUGUGACUUGUGACGUCGUCUUGACGACGAACCUAACUUCGGAUGUAAAUCGCAGCCAUUGUUGUUGUUUCGUCUGCUCAUCUCGUAUAUUUGCGCUCAUCUGCUUGAUAGUCAACGAUUCUUACGUCUUGUGCACCAUGAAUAGUUACGUUCAAGCAGAAGGACCACUGGUAGCCCUACCAGUAACUCGAGGACGUAACCAUGGCGGUGCUGGCCACAUCGGGCGUAUCUGCAUUAUGGUGUGUGACUACAAAAAGGAUAAGCAGCCAAGCCUGUCCAGUUUAACAUGAAAGCAUCAGAUGCUACCACUAGAGGGGUUCAGCACUGAAGACACAAUGAAGGAAGUAUUUGAUGACGUUGAGUGGAAAAGAGGUUUGUGUGGUGGGAUGUCCCAUAGAUAGGACAGCCUGCAGACUGUACUCCUCUUGAGCGUCCACUCUGCUUACUCUAACCCCGCCUGCUGAGGGUGUGGCCAAGACAUUGACCUUCCAGGUGGCCCUUGAGCUGUUGGACUUUUAUCAGAACUGUCAUAGCUCAACUCAAGUAUGGGGAAUGACAGCUCUGCCUGCUAGCUUGGAUGCAAAUGCAUCCACUGCCAAACUGACAGCCUCAAACUCCAACAUAUUAUUGAAGGCACAUAUUGCUGGCUCCCAUAUCCGAAAUGGGCUCCCCCACUGACAUCCAACACAUCCAUGAAUUUUUCGUGAAGAAACCCUGCAUGGAGCCAUUGGCACUCUAAUAAUGGAAUUUUGAAACAAUGGACAGACUGAACUGCCUUACCAGAGGGCGUUCUAUCACUUAUGUGAACUAAGACCUCUCUCCCAAGGAGUGAUUGUUGUUUAGGUUUUCCUACACCUCUGACAAGUCCCUUUACACAGAGGAACCAUCCUGUUGCAACAGCCCCUGGCAGUGAAAGGGAAGUGGGAUGGUAAAGCAUCCCCCUUUUACCACUUGGCUAGGAUGGAGAUUCUAGCAGACAGAUUCCAAUCAAAUAGAGACAAGGAAUUGACUAGGGCAGAGCCAAUGUCUUGAUGGGUCUGUUCAUCGUAUGUGAAUCCUACCAAGGACACUUCCCUCCAACUCUAAAGGAGGGCAGUGUUAGAACUAAACUCAAUAGCUUCAUUAGCCUGCUUAAAGACAAAAUACCCUUGUAAUAAUAAAACAAUGGGGAAAUUUGUACUAGCCCACAGGAAUUUGUACUAGCCCCAGGGUAGUAGUUAAGCUUGAAUGGCCAGGGGGACCGGCUCAUACAAAUGGCAAACUGACCCAGUGUAUAGCACACCAUCUCCCCCAGUCUAUUUAUUUGACUUUCUACUACCCCACCAGCUUGAGUGAUCCUGACCUACAAGUAACAAGUAGACACUGACCUUGUAC
Molecule: RNA transcript, 1576 nt
Organism: Haliotis rufescens (red abalone)
Lineage: Eukaryota; Metazoa; Mollusca; Gastropoda; Lepetellida; Haliotidae
Exons: 2
Source: RefSeq, a predicted model, not a curated record